RNAcentral lists this long non-coding RNA (1325 nucleotides) under Numida meleagris (helmeted guineafowl). RNAcentral's name for it is "lncRNA (ENSNMEG00000009656.1)". Lineage: Eukaryota; Metazoa; Chordata; Aves; Galliformes; Numididae. The record is from RNAcentral.
UUUUUUCUGCAUCUGCAGGAGUUUAGUAUAAAGAGGACAUAAAAAACAGCGAGGAUAUGUCUUGAUAUGUCCUGAGUGAGGGCCUUGCUGGUAUAAAUAAAAAGAGUUAACUGAAAAUGGUGGAGUCAUCCACCAGUUGAAGAUCCUGUCUGUUUUAUUUAAUCUUCAGCUCAGACCAUUGGGAUCAUGAUUUUGUUUACCUGUGUUUAAUAGGCUAAUUUCCACUGCAAUUUAAAUUUGUUUGAAUGAAUGUUGAGGAAGGACAUCAAGAUCUGAGCUUUUGCUGACCUAAUGUAUUAGAUGAACUCACUUCAGGAUAUGGUUCCUUUCUGCGCGUCAGUAUAAUUUAAUUAAGUGGAUCAAUCUAGAAUAUUGAAUGUAUUUCUUUCAGAGUAAACCUUUUAUUUAUCUCCUUCAGAAUAAAACACUUCUCUAAGGAAAAGAUGAAAAGAUUACUUUUUAUUGAUAUGACCAUGGUGUAAUAAUAAUUGAGACUCUUUGUAAGGUAUGGCAUUUUUCUGCUUCCAAGGUAUCAUGUAAGCACAUUAUCACUGCCUGUAAAUGACAGACUCUCCAGACUAACCUCAUUCAGUCAAGAACCAAGGGAAUAAGCAUUGCAGGAAGACUUCCAAACCCAAAGAUUUGUGAAUUACAAAGGAAGUGAAAGAGUAUGGACAGAAUACAAAGCAGCGACUGUACAAAAGACUUGGCAGCCAGCACUCCCGAGCACUCCUAGGCGAGCGAGUGGAUUUAGAGUAGCUUUUUAAUCUCUCAGCUCUGAUUUAAAAAUGAAACAGAUAGAAACAAUUAUGCAUUAAUUUUUAAUUUUAUCUAUGCUACUAUGUCAUAUUCUUUAAGUUAAUGGUGGUUUAAAACCAUUAUGCAAAGCUGUAGACUUUUUGGGCUUCCCAGAAACCUUCAAUUAUUGAAUUAAGGUGGCAGUGAAUGGCUCAGCAUUUUAUUUUCUAUAGUCAGUGAGUAUAGUAGAUGAAACUUUGCAAGUAGGAGUAUGUGACAAGAAGGUGCAGAGGGACUAUCAGCACUAGUGCCAAAGCUUGAAUGCUGUCAUAUGCUUGCAUAAAAGCAACUCUUGCAAGUGCUACUGUUGGUUGCAGAGGAAUUUCUAAUCCCAUCUGAAGUUCAUUCCAGAGGCCUGCAGCAGAAUGACAAAGUAACCUUCUAGCAAAAGAGCUGACCACUUUUGGGAUAACAAAAUGUAAACAACGAAAUGCUUUUAAAAACGAUGAUUGAGGCUGUAGCAUUUUAAUGAGUCGGCAGCUCGCACAGUGUUGCUGUACAAACAAACCGAAACCAAUACAAAUGUG